Molecule: long non-coding RNA, 1291 nt
Organism: Vespa mandarinia (Asian giant hornet)
Lineage: Eukaryota; Metazoa; Arthropoda; Insecta; Hymenoptera; Vespidae
Gene: su(w[a])
Source: RefSeq, a predicted model, not a curated record
CACAGCGUAGAGAGACAAAUGGCAAGCUGACGGUUAUAGGUAUUUAUGACCGUUCAGCAUGGUAUGUAUUAGCGUCUUAGAUUCAGCUGUGCUGGCAACAAUGUACGAAUUACCAAAUGCAUUAUGCAACUUUGAUAAUUUCUCUAUGUUGCGAUAUACAUUCUACAGUUUAUGUAUAUACUCUGCAUACAAUUUGUGUAUAAAUAUUGAAUGUACAGCAUACAGUGUCGAAGAUGCAAGGUGGAUUGUGUACGCACAUGUCGAAGGCAUUGCAGCAUUUAUUCUCAAACUGUAUUCUUCAUCAUCCAAGCGAACAUUUUGUGAGAAUUUUUAAGUGAUCUUCUAUAAACUUGUAUCUUCAAUUUUUUCAACUUUUCUUUUUCUUUUUUUUCUUUUCUCUUUUUUUUUUUUUUUUUUUUUUUUUUCUUUAAUUUGGUGCUGCUUAAUGUUCUAUGGUUUUUUUUCUUUUUCUUUUUUUCUUUUUUCUUUUUUUUUUUUUUUUUUUUUUUUUUUUUUUUUUUUUUUUUUUUUUUUUUUUUUUUCUUUUGUUACAAUUCAACAAUCGAUACUCAAACUACUCUUGCUUUUUAUCUGAAUAAUGCAAUAUGUAUGCUCAUUGCAAUUAGAUCAUUUUAUUUUCCAUAUCGCUACUUAUAUCUAGGAAUAUUACAACUAAUUUCAUUGUGAAAUGACACAGCUUUUGUUAAAUAUUAAACUGGACAUACAAUUAUGGACCAUAUAAUAAUUAUUCAUGUAAUUUGACUAAACGUAAUGCAAUAUAUAUAUAUAUACGUAUAUAUAUAAUAUUUGAUUAGAUGAAAAGGACAAAAUGUUUGACAUAAUUCAAUAUAUGGUUCUAUGUUUUAUACAUCUAAGUAGUAUAAAAUAUAAUGACGAAAAAGAAAUAAUCUAUGAAUGUCAUAAAAUUAUUUAUAAUUAAUAUGUAAGCAUUUAUGAAAUUAUCAUAAAUGUUAAUAUCUUGUAAGAGAAAAAGCAGCAAAUUGCAUCUUCAGAAACAAACAGUAUAAUAAUAUUAAUGCGUAGUAAAUUUAUUUUACAAAAUACAUUGUAUAUAGUGUAUUUAAUUUGAAAGUUAUGCAAAGGAAUAAAUUACACAUAAAGACAUGUCAUUCAACUUUGUAUGACUAUAUUUUAUUUCAGAGGAAACUCUUUGUGGUGGGAUUCUCUUCAUAAAUUAUUUUUCAGAUGCGGGAUUAAUAGAAUUUACGUAAAAGAAAAAAAAAUAAACUAUACAAAAAAAAAACAACAACAAAAAAACAAACAAAAAAAA